Molecule: ribosomal RNA, 430 nt
Filed under: Acidobacteriota bacterium
Lineage: Bacteria; Pseudomonadati; Acidobacteriota
Description: Acidobacteria bacterium partial 16S ribosomal RNA
Rfam family: Bacterial small subunit ribosomal RNA
Source: RNAcentral
UGGGGAAUAUUGGACAAUGGGCGAAAGCCUGAUCCAGCCAUGCCGCGUGUGUGAAGAAGGCCUUUUGGUUGUAAAGCACUUUAAGCGAGGAGGAGGCUACUUGGACUAAUACUCUAGGAUAGUGGACGUUACUCGCAGAAUAAGCACCGGCUAACUCUGUGCCAGCAGCCGCGGUAAUACAGAGGGUGCGAGCGUUAAUCGGAUUUACUGGGCGUAAAGCGUGCGUAGGCGGCUUCUUAAGUCGGAUGUGAAAUCCCUGAGCUUAACUUAGGAAUUGCAUUCGAUACUGGGAAGCUAGAGUAUGGGAGAGGAUGGUAGAAUUCCAGGUGUAGCGGUGAAAUGCGUAGAGAUCUGGAGAAAUACCGAUGGCGAAGGCAGCCAUCUGGCCUAAUACUGACGCUGAGGUACGAAAGCAUGGGGAGCAAACAGG